This 70-nucleotide transfer RNA is filed under the name Perca fluviatilis (European perch). RNAcentral describes it as "tRNA-Ala". It matches the Rfam family "tRNA". From Rfam's summary of the family: Transfer RNA (tRNA) molecules are approximately 80 nucleotides in length. Their secondary structure includes four short double-helical elements and three loops (D, anti-codon, and T loops). The record is from RNAcentral. Lineage: Eukaryota; Metazoa; Chordata; Actinopteri; Perciformes; Percidae.
GCAUUGGUGGUUCAGUGGUAGAAUUUCUAACCUAGCAUGUAGGGUGCGGGAACAAUUCCGGCCCAAUGCA